ACUGUCGAAUUCGAAGACUCAAUGUGCUUGCUGCUGGGUAAUCUUGAUAAAAGAACAAGAGGAUUGUUUCUUGCAUGGUGAGUUAAAGUUUCUCAAGUCUCUGAUGCUAAGGCAAUACUCUUUGUUUGCAUGCCAAAUUGGGAAGUUCAUAUGGUUCUAAUACAAAUCUCAAGAAGUGUGUGCAACUUUGUCUUAGUGUGCAGGCUUUUACUAUUCUUGUGAUACUCAUGGUUUUGUUGAAAUGAACUUUCAGAUGGAAGCACAAAAUCCUCAACAUGCACAAAUUAUUGGAAUAAAUGUUGAUGUUCCUGAUGGGGGGAGCAAUGUUGGGGGCAGUAAGAUAUGUGGGGAAGCACCUUGUGGAUUCUCAGAUGCUGGAGUUAACUCCAAAGAUGCCAAAGAACGAUCUGCUUCCAUGCGCAAGCUCUUGAUAGCAGUGGCACUUUGUGUAGUCUUCAUGAGUGCUGAAGUAGCUGGUGGCAUCAAAGCUAACAGUCUUGCAAUAUUGACCGAUGCUGCACAUUUGCUUUCAGAUGUUGCAGCCUUUGCUAUCUCCUUGUUCUCUUUGUGGGCAGCUGGAUGGGAAGCCACACCCCGUCAGUCCUAUGGAUUUUUUAGGGUUGAGAUCCUUGGUGCAUUGAUUUCCAUACAGCUCAUAUGGUUGCUUGCAGGGAUUUUGGUAUAUGAAGCCAUUGUUAGGCUCAUUCAUGAUACAGGUGAUGUAAAUGGCUUUCUAAUGUUUAUAGUUGCUGCUUUUGGUCUGGUGGUAAAUGUUAUCAUGGCUCUUUUAUUGGGCCAUGAUCAUGGGCAUGGCCAUGAUGGUCACAAUCAUGGGAUUGGCCACAUCCAUGGGGAGAAAAUUACCACUCACCACCACCACCACCAGCAUGAAGAGCACUUGAAAGACAAGCACUGUCAUCACGAGGAGCACUCAAAAGAUGAGCACCAUCCUGUGUCUGAAGAAUAUGUUGUGCCAUUGCUGGAUAAAGGAAAAGGCAAGCAUGGCAAAAUUCAGCGAAACAUAAAUGUACAAGGGGCUUAUCUCCAUGUACUUGGGGAUUCCAUUCAGAGUAUUGGGGUAAUGAUUGGAGGUGGAGUCAUAUGGUAUAAGCCUGAGUGGAAGAUAGUUGAUCUGAUCUGCACUCUAAUUUUUUCUGUUAUAGUUUUAGGUACAACAAUCAAAAUGCUGCGAAGCAUACUUGAAGUUCUGAUGGAGAGUACUCCAAGAGAGAUAGAUGCAACAAAGCUAGAAAAGGGGCUGUUGGAGAUGGAGGAAGUGGUAGCCAUUCACGAGCUGCAUAUAUGGGCCAUCACAGUGGGUAAGGUUCUCUUGGCUUGUCAUGUUAAAAUCAGACCAGAAGCAAAUGCAGACAUGGUUCUGGACAAUGUGAUAAACUACAUCAGAAGGGAGUACAAUAUUAGUCAUGUUACCAUCCAGAUAGAGCGUUAGUGGAGGAAGUGGAUCAUCUCAUUUUAUCUGAAACUUCCAUUUUUCCUAUUAUGUGGGUGCAAAUAUGUUAUCUUUGUAUUGAUUGCUUCAUUUUGUUGAGCUUUCAAAUUGACAUCUCCUGCAUGUUUAUUUAAUAUCUUGAUUUUGCAAUUACAGAAUUCAACUCUUCUGAGUUCCUUGAAUCAUUGCUUUCUCUUCAUGUGAUACAAGUUACCAAAUAAGUGUCACAUGUGCAAACAUUAUUCAUUCUAAAGGAAGAAGUUUUUCGUCAGGCUUGGGAAGGAACUUGCAUCGUCUUCAAUUUGAGACAUCCAUUGUCACUGGGAGUUGGGGUCUACCACUGAUUAUUUUAAGUGAUUGUUUAAUUAAAUAGCAGCUGGGAGCAUGAUGCUGGGAAGUGGGGGCGCUUGUGUCUGUAACUUCCCAUAGAAUCUGCUUUUACUGUGAAAUAAUGGGUGGGAGAUUCAGUAACUUAAAGGUUCUGCAACCCUGUGGGGAGUGGAUAAGGUUAUCUCACUAGUAUUUCCAUCUUAUGGUCUCUACGUGGACCAGAAUUAAUAAGUCAGCUAGAGGACAAGUACAAAUAUCUCCAGUGCAGGGCACAUGAGAAUGGGAAUGCCUCUGGCUGUGUGGCUUAAUCCUAAGGUGUACCAUAGUUUUUUCUUAUAGGUGGAAAAUAGAUGCUUCAGAUCAAAAUGGAUAAGGUUCUUAAACAUUAUCAAAGAAAGUACGUGGUAUGAAUUUUAUUGAAAUGAAUUUGUCGUCUUUGCAAAUUUUGAGUUUCGUAAAUCUGUUGUAUGAAUUUGUUAAAAUCUCCAAGAUGUCUGAGACGUUUGAUUGCUUUUCUUUGAUUUAGAAACGAUAUAUGUUCAUGAACAUGACAUUAUAUCUAAUUCAAAACAUUCACACUAUGCAUCUUAAGGCAAUUAGUUUAUAAACCUGAAAAAGGAUUAUAUUCAUGAGCUUGAAAUUAUAUAUAUAUAUAAUUCAAAAUUUUGUUUAAUUUAAAAUCUCAAAAUAAU
Molecule: unclassified non-coding RNA, 2472 nt
Filed under: Hevea brasiliensis (rubber tree)
Lineage: Eukaryota; Viridiplantae; Streptophyta; Magnoliopsida; Malpighiales; Euphorbiaceae
Source: RNAcentral